Molecule: ribosomal RNA, 200 nt
Filed under: uncultured bacterium
Lineage: Bacteria
Description: partial 16S ribosomal RNA
Rfam family: Bacterial small subunit ribosomal RNA
Source: RNAcentral
ACGCUCGACACCUACGGAGGCAGCAGUCGGGAAUAUUGCGCAAUGGAGGAAACUCUGACGCAGUGACGCCGCGUAUGGGAAGAAGGUUUUCGGAUUGUAAACCAUUUUAGACAAGGAAGAAACAAGACAGUACUUGUAGAAUAAGCUCCGGCUAACUACGUGCUAGCAGCCGCGGUAAUCUGAGGCGGGCUGGCGAAGGC